GUGCCUGCUGGUGUGUUUUUAGGAAAGACAUUGAACCCCGCAUUGCUCCUGGUGGUCAUGCAUUGGCACCAUCAGUGUGUGGGACGGUCACUAAAGCGCUCUGGGCCUUCGAUAAUGAGAUAAGUGUUCACCAUUUACUCUGAUUUCUGCAGAGCAGCUGUAGUUUAUUAUGAAUUCAUCUCUGAUUUGUUGACAGGACUGACGGCACAGAGCGACCCCGCCCCCCUUCCCUCCCCAGGCAACCCGCCCAGAAUAUUUUCUGUCACUGUUACAGCUAUCCUUCCUUCACGGCUCCACAUGACUCCCGGCGUGUCUUCUGGAGGACCGGCGGCCUAUAAAAACCCUCUGAGAAACACCGACUCACUUCUGCGUCUGCAGCAGGAAGGAGCCGGUUCCAGGAUGGUUUUCAGGACUCUGGGCGUGACGUGCGCCGUCUUCUUCGGGGCGUGGGUCCUCUCGAGCGCCAAAGACGCAGCGCCCCCCACCACCACCACCACCAGCGCCUUCUGCAAGAUCAUCUGGUUGAUCGGAGUCCCCUGCUCUGAGGUCAACUCCGCCAUCGUGACUCAGAUCAAAGCCAUGGGUUCAUACACGGUGUGGAAGCGUCUCGUGUGUCAGUCCUGA
Molecule: long non-coding RNA, 624 nt
Filed under: Oryzias javanicus (javanese ricefish)
Lineage: Eukaryota; Metazoa; Chordata; Actinopteri; Beloniformes; Adrianichthyidae
Description: lncRNA (ENSOJAG00000021523.1)
Source: RNAcentral